AGUGAACGCUGGCGGUAGGCCUAACACAUGCAAGUCGAACGGCAGCACAGUAAGAUCUUGCUCUUACGGGUGGCGAGUGGCGGACGGGUGAGGAAUGCAUCGGAAUCUACUUUUUCGUGGGGGAUAACGUAGGGAAACUUACGCUAAUACCGCAUACUCUCCUCGGCGGAAAGCCGGGGAUCUUCGCACCUUUCGCGACUGAAUGAGCCGAUGUGGGAUUAGCUAGUUGGGAGGGUAAAGGCCCACCAAGCCAAGGAUUCGUAGCUGGUCUGAGAGGAUGAUCAGCCACACUAGAACUGAGACACGGUCCAGACGCCUACGGGAGGCAGCAGUGGGGAAUAUUAGACAAUGGGCGCAAGCCUGAUCCAGCCAUACCGCGUGGGUGAAGAAGGCCUUCGGGUUGUAAAGCCCGUUUGUUGGGAAAGAAAGGCAGCAGGUUAAUACCCCGCUGUUCUGACGGUACCCAAAGAAUAAGCACCGGCUAACUUCGUG
This 492-nucleotide ribosomal RNA is filed under the name uncultured bacterium. RNAcentral describes it as "partial 16S ribosomal RNA". It matches the Rfam family "Bacterial small subunit ribosomal RNA", at positions 29 to 507 of the family's 1533-position model. The record is from RNAcentral.